AUCUAGCUGGCGAAUCCCAAAUGGGACGAAACGCGCGUCCCGGAU
Molecule: non-coding RNA, 45 nt
Organism: Schistosoma mattheei
Lineage: Eukaryota; Metazoa; Platyhelminthes; Trematoda; Strigeidida; Schistosomatidae
Source: Rfam